ACUCCGUAUAGCUCAGGUUCUUACAGCAUGGUGCUGAUAACGCCAAGGUUGCGAGUUCGAUCCCCAUAUGGGACA
Molecule: non-coding RNA, 75 nt
Organism: Podarcis lilfordi (Lilford's wall lizard)
Lineage: Eukaryota; Metazoa; Chordata; Lepidosauria; Squamata; Lacertidae
Source: the annotation of a GenBank genome assembly